Long non-coding RNA from Mya arenaria, 993 nucleotides. RefSeq lists it as uncharacterized. Lineage: Eukaryota; Metazoa; Mollusca; Bivalvia; Myida; Myidae. The record is from RefSeq and is a predicted model, not a curated record. The transcript is spliced from 4 exons.
AGACAGCCCGCCCGCCGAGCUGCCCACCCGGCCGAGCUGUACUUUGUGGAUGCCAACAUGCCGACAUGCUGGAAUUUGUUAGUACUUCAAGAUCAUAUAAUGGAAAAUUGUAUCCAAACUGAAGUAUAAUUUGACGAGCCUGGUUGCUGUAGCCACAGGGGAAUUUUCAAGGACAAGAACCAGUGCUGGUAAAAAUGUGGUCUCAUGUGGUUUUCCAUACCGGCAUUCAGCAAGGAUUUCAGAGAAAGGAAUACUGUCUCCAAAUCAUGAUGUGCCAAUAAGCUCCAGUUAGCUGUGCCUUUUUCCUCCCACCGGUAGUCCUUCAAUCUGAAUCCAGGAGUUGCAGCUCUGAAUCCAAUAUUUCAGGAGAAUGAAUAUAAAACUGAAGCCUUCAGGAAGUCAACGCCACCAUGGUAUUGAUUUAUUCAACUCUGAUGUACUCAGCUGUGAUGUAACAUGCCUUCAAGCCACUAUCCGAAGAACAUUCAGACGUUCUAAAUGGACCAUUGCCCUGUUGCCAUGGAAAUCAUUAUGAGGAGGAGCACACAAACUGUCACUUGUUUUGGAUAUCAGAAGUACCACGAACUGACCAUAAACUUUUCAGAUGCUCUGUUUAUUUCAUCAGCCAAUUUCGAUGUAAAUUUUACUGAAUAAUGACAAACAGUCUUACUCAUAAGCAUCUCUUACUCAUUCGUAUUCCACAACUAAACAUGCUUGCAAUUACACUGUGUCAUCUAUCAUAAUAUAGCAAUGCUGCAAUGUCCACAUUUUUUUGUACCAGUUGUUGCUUUAUACUGAAACUUUUAUUGAAAAUGGUGCAUAAACACUGGCAACACAUCAAUGUUUCGUUCAUACAUGUGUACAUGUUCUUUCAGUGUUGAUAAUGUUGACAUAUUUCAUGUACAUUUACACAUGUGUUUAUUGCCAACCUCAUCAAAACAUGCAUAGUUUGCUCACAUACAUAUUUCCAAAACAGACAUUUACUGAAUGUAU